AAACCAUACCAUAUCCCACCAGAGAGGUAAGUGGGAGCUGAGAGAAGAUGAGACCCAGGGAGGAGCUACUGCACAUGAUACAGGAGAAUACAUGGGAGGGUCUCUUCCUCAGGGAGCACAGGAACUCUGAGAUUCAGCAAGGGUGUCCUGGGAGACCUCAGGGAUGGGAGAGUACACAGAUUCACAACUCAUUCAGAACUGUAGAAGAUGAUGGAUGUGACCAAGAUCACUUUAGUCCUAGGGGACUACAGAAGGAAAAAGACAUGAGGCAGUAGGGUAUCUGUAUGUUCUCCCACUGACCACACUUUCUUUAGUGACUCCUGAUUGCCUUCUCAAGUCACAGACACUAUGAUGCCUCCCAUGGCCCUGCCUAGCGUAUCUUGGAUGCUGCUUUUCUGCCUCAUGCUCCUGUCUCAGGUUCAAGGUGAAGAACCCCAGAGGGAACUGCCCUCUGCACGGAUCCGCUGUCCCAAAGGCUCCAAGGCCUAUGGCUCCCACUGCUACGCCUUGUUUUUGUCACCAAAAUCCUGGACAGAUGCAGAUGUG
Molecule: small RNA, 546 nt
Filed under: Pongo abelii (Sumatran orangutan)
Lineage: Eukaryota; Metazoa; Chordata; Mammalia; Primates; Hominidae
Description: retained intron
Source: RNAcentral